Molecule: ribosomal RNA, 251 nt
Filed under: uncultured bacterium
Lineage: Bacteria
Description: partial 16S ribosomal RNA
Rfam family: Bacterial small subunit ribosomal RNA
Source: RNAcentral
UACGUAGGGGGCAAGCGUUGUCCGGAUUUAUUGGGCGUAAAGAGCGUGUAGGCGGCUAGGUAGGUCCGUUGUGAAAACUCGAGGCUCAACCUCGAGACGCCGAUGGAAACCAUCUAGCUAGAGUCCGGAAGAGGAGAGUGGAAUUCCUGGUGUAGCGGUGAAAUGCGCAGAUAUCAGGAAGAACACCCCUGGCUAAGGCGGCUCUGUAGGACGGUACUGACGCUGAGACGCGAAAGCGUGGGGAGCGAACA